This 1433-nucleotide ribosomal RNA is filed under the name uncultured organism. Its description in RNAcentral is "16S ribosomal RNA". It matches the Rfam family "Bacterial small subunit ribosomal RNA". The record is from RNAcentral.
GCUGGCGGCGUGCUUAACACAUGCAAGUCGAACGGAAAGGCCCUGCUUUUGUGGGGUGCUCGAGUGGCGAACGGGUGAGUAACACGUGAGUAACCUGCCCUUGACUUUGGGAUAACUUCAGGAAACUGGGGCUAAUACCGGAUAGGAGCUCCUGCUGCAUGGUGGGGGUUGGAAAGUUUCGGCGGUUGGGGAUGGACUCGCGGCUUAUCAGCUUGUUGGUGGGGUAGUGGCUUACCAAGGCUUUGACGGGUAGCCGGCCUGAGAGGGUGACCGGCCACAUUGGGACUGAGAUACGGCCCAGACUCCUACGGGAGGCAGCAGUGGGGAAUAUUGCACAAUGGGCGGAAGCCUGAUGCAGCAACGCCGCGUGCGGGAUGACGGCCUUCGGGUUGUAAACCGCUUUCGCCUGUGACGAAGCGUGAGUGACGGUAAUGGGUAAAGAAGCACCGGCUAACUACGUGCCAGCAGCCGCGGUGAUACGUAGGGUGCGAGCGUUGUCCGGAUUUAUUGGGCGUAAAGGGCUCGUAGGUGGUUGAUCGCGUCGGAAGUGUAAUCUUGGGGCUUAACCCUGAGCGUGCUUUCGAUACGGGUUGACUUGAGGAAGGUAGGGGAGAAUGGAAUUCCUGGUGGAGCGGUGGAAUGCGCAGAUAUCAGGAGGAACACCAGUGGCGAAGGCGGUUCUCUGGGCCUUUCCUGACGCUGAGGAGCGAAAGCGUGGGGAGCGAACAGGCUUAGAUACCCUGGUAGUCCACGCUGUAAACGGUGGGUACUAGGUGUGGGGUCCAUUCCACGGGUUCCGUGCCGUAGCUAACGCUUUAAGUACCCCGCCUGGGGAGUACGGCCGCAAGGCUAAAACUCAAAGGAAUUGACGGGGCCCCGCACAAGCGGCGGAGCAUGCGGAUUAAUUCGAUGCAACGCGUAGAACCUUACCUGGGUUUGACAUGGAUCGGGAGUGCUCAGAGAUGGGUGUGCCUCUUUUGGGGUCGGUUCACAGGUGGUGCAUGGCUGUCGUCAGCUCGUGUCGUGAGAUGUUGGGUUAAGUCCCGCAACGAGCGCAACCCUUGUUCACUGUUGCCAGCACGUUAUGGUGGGGACUCAGUGGAGACCGCCGGGGUCAACUCGGAGGAAGGUGGGGAUGACGUCAAGUCAUCAUGCCCCUUAUGUCCAGGGCUUCACGCAUGCUACAAUGGCUGGUACAGAGAGUGGCGAGCCUGUGAGGGUGAGCGAAUCUCGGAAAGCCGGUCUCAGUUCGGAUUGGGGUCUGCAACUCGACCUCAUGAAGUCGGAGUCGCUAGUAAUCGCAGAUCAGCAACGCUGCGGUGAAUACGUUCCCGGGGCUUGUACACACCGCCCGUCAAGUCAUGAAAGUUGGUAACACCCGAAGCCGGUGGCCUAACCGUUGUGGGGGAGCCGUCGAAGGUGGGACUGGUGAU